UGGGGAAUAUUGCACAAUGGGCGCAAGCCUGAUGCAGCCAUGCCGCGUGUAUGAAGAAGGCCUUCGGGUUGUAAAGUACUUUCAGCGGGGAGGAAGGUGUUGAGGUUAAUAACCUCAGCAAUUGACGUUGCCCGCAGAAGAAGCACCGGCUAACUCCGUGCCAGCAGCCGCGGUAAUACGGAGGGUGCAAGCGUUAAUCGGAAUUACUGGGCGUAAAGCGCACGCAGGCGGUCUGUCAAGUCGGAUGUGAAAUCCCCGGGCUCAACCUGGGAACUGCAUUCGAAACUGGCAGGCUAGAGUCUUGUAGAGGGGGGUAGAAUUCCAGGUGUAGCGGUGAAAUGCGUAGAGAUCUGGAGGAAUACCGGUGGCGAAGGCGGCCCCCUGGACAAAGACUGACGCUCAGGUGCGAAAGCGUGGGGAGCAAACA
RNAcentral lists this ribosomal RNA (427 nucleotides) under uncultured bacterium. RNAcentral describes it as "partial 16S ribosomal RNA". It matches the Rfam family "Bacterial small subunit ribosomal RNA", at positions 355 to 774 of the family's 1533-position model. The record is from RNAcentral.